Molecule: non-coding RNA, 216 nt
Filed under: unclassified sequences
Description: IS605-orfB-I RNA
Rfam family: IS605-orfB-I RNA
Source: Rfam by way of RNAcentral
ACCUUAUAUAGAUGUAUCAACGCAAGACAGUUGAGCAUUUCCCUAUAAGGUGAUGUUUCAAUAGAAGUAUAAACAACAAGUCUUAUUGUGUAGUUAUGAGUUGAAAUAAGAUGAGUUUAUAUGGAAUAGGUUAACCGUAAGACCUUGAGUUGAAAAACUCUAAAAUUAACCUAGAAAUCAAAUUUUUAAAAUUUCGUAUUUUCUAGUUACGGUUGG